Molecule: ribosomal RNA, 174 nt
Filed under: Microglanis sp. MM-2017
Lineage: Eukaryota; Metazoa; Chordata; Actinopteri; Siluriformes; Pseudopimelodidae
Description: partial 12S rRNA
Source: RNAcentral
CACCGCGGUUAUACGAAAGACCCUAGUUGAUACUCACGGCGUAAAGGGUGGUUAAGGGAUAAAACAAAUAAAGCUAAAGAGCCUCUAAGCCGUCGUACGCACCCCGAAAGCUCGAAACCCAAAAACGAAAGUAGCUUUAAAAUAUAUAUACCUGACCCCACGAAAGCUAAGAAA